This 407-nucleotide ribosomal RNA is filed under the name uncultured bacterium. RNAcentral's name for it is "bacterial SSU rRNA". It matches the Rfam family "Bacterial small subunit ribosomal RNA", at positions 356 to 774 of the family's 1533-position model. The record is from RNAcentral.
GGGGAAUAUUGCACAAUGGGCGGAAGCCUGAUGCAGCGACGCCGCGUGGGGGAUGACGGCCUUCGGGUUGUAAACUCCUUUCACCAUCGACGAAGGGUUUCUGACGGUAGAUGGAGAAGAAGCACCGGCUAACUACGUGCCAGCAGCCGCGGUAAUACGUAGGGUGCGAGCGUUGUCCGGAAUUACUGGGCGUAAAGAGCUCGUAGGUGGUUUGUCGCGUCGUCUGUGAAAUUCCGGGGCUUAACUCCGGGCGUGCAGGCGAUACGGGCAUAACUUGAGUACUGUAGGGGAGACUGGAAUUCCUGGUGUAGCGGUGAAAUGCGCAGAUAUCAGGAGGAACACCGGUGGCGAAGGCGGGUCUCUGGGCAGUAACUGACGCUGAGGAGCGAAAGCAUGGGGAGCGAACA